This 379-nucleotide long non-coding RNA is filed under the name Rattus norvegicus (Norway rat). Its description in RNAcentral is "long non-coding RNA NONRATT003923". The record is from RNAcentral. Lineage: Eukaryota; Metazoa; Chordata; Mammalia; Rodentia; Muridae.
CGAGCUGGCAGCCGCCGUCCGUGAGGAGGAACAUGACCAUUGCUCUAUGUCAUGGUUCCAGAGCCCGUGGUCAUCAGAGUCACUUGGAGAGAGUUCUAAAGCAGAGGUUUCCAUGCAACACCCAGGAACCCAGAAAUUCCUUACAGAAAGAACUUACUAUUCAAAGCUCCCUGUCCUGUCAUGUCCAGCCAAAUUUGGGGACCCCUGGCCUUGGGUAUGCCAAUUCUGUCAAAAUGUGUAUAUUCUGUGGUGUUUGUCCCAGAGGCCUGUCAAGAUGCUCAAAAUAUGCCUCACAGAAGCCAGAGACUGGCUAAUCAGUGAUGGCACGUGUUGCCUGUCUCAGACCUUAAUCUGGAAAGAACUUAAGAGUAUCUGUCUA